Molecule: transfer RNA, 72 nt
Filed under: Colletotrichum noveboracense
Lineage: Eukaryota; Fungi; Ascomycota; Sordariomycetes; Glomerellales; Glomerellaceae
Description: tRNA-Gly
Rfam family: tRNA
About the family: Transfer RNA (tRNA) molecules are approximately 80 nucleotides in length. Their secondary structure includes four short double-helical elements and three loops (D, anti-codon, and T loops).
Source: RNAcentral
GCGUUCUUAGUGUAGCGGUUAUCAUCCAAGCCUUCCAAGCUUGGGACAGGGGUUCGACUCCCCUAGGACGCA